UGUAACAUCGAUGAAUCUGCCUAGGCAU
Molecule: small RNA, 28 nt
Filed under: Bombyx mori (domestic silkworm)
Lineage: Eukaryota; Metazoa; Arthropoda; Insecta; Lepidoptera; Bombycidae
Description: ovarian small RNA-35302
Source: RNAcentral